This 459-nucleotide ribosomal RNA is filed under the name uncultured bacterium. RNAcentral's name for it is "partial 16S ribosomal RNA". It matches the Rfam family "Bacterial small subunit ribosomal RNA", at positions 338 to 795 of the family's 1533-position model. The record is from RNAcentral.
CCUACGGGUGGCAGCAGUGAGGAAUAUUGGUCAAUGGCCGGGAGGCUGAACCAGCCAAGUCGCGUGAGGGAAGACGGCCCUACGGGUUGUAAACCUCUUUUGUCAGGGAGUAAGGCGAACGUCGGGUGGUGCUGUGAGAGUACCCGAAGAAAAAGCAUCGGCUAACUCCGUGCCAGCAGCCGCGGUAAUACGGAGGAUGCGAGCGUUAUCCGGAUUUAUUGGGUGUAAAGGGUGCGCAGGCGGAGGUACAAGUCAGCGGUCAAAUUGCGGGGCUCAACCCCGGACUGCCGUUGAAACUGUGUCCCUUGAGUGCGCGAGAAGUAUGCGGAAUGCGUGGUGUAGCGGGGAAAUGCAUAGAUAUCACGCAGAACUCCGAUUGCGAAGGCAGCAUACCGGCGCGCAACUGACGCUCAUGCACGAAAGCGUGGGUAUCGAACAGGAUUAGAUACCCGUGUAGUC